Molecule: small nuclear RNA, 19 nt
Filed under: Arabidopsis thaliana (thale cress)
Lineage: Eukaryota; Viridiplantae; Streptophyta; Magnoliopsida; Brassicales; Brassicaceae
Description: snRNA_16122
Source: RNAcentral
UCCUCUCAAAGAAGGACAA